GAUGCAGNGNCGCCGNGUGAGGGANGACGGCCUUCGGGUNGUAAACNUNUUCANUAGGGACGAAGNGCAAGUGACGGUACCUAUAGAAGAAGGACCNNCCAANUACGUGCCAGCAGCCGCGGUAAUACGUAGGGUCCGAGCGUNNUCCGGAAUUACUGGGCGUAAAGAGNUCGUAGGUGGUUUGUCGCGUUGUUCGUGAAAACUCACAGCUUAACUGUGGGCGUGCGGGCGAUACGGGCAGACUAGAGUACUGCAGGGGAGACUGGAAUUCNUGGUGUAGCGGUGGAAUGCGCAGAUAUCAGGAGGAACACCGGUGGCGAAGGCGGGUCUCUGGGCAGUAACUGACGCUGAGGAGCGAAAGCGUGGGGAGCGAACAGGAUUAGAUACCCUGGUAGUCCACGCCGUAAACGGUGGGUACUAGGUGUGGGUUUCCUUCCUUGGGAUCCGUGCCGUAGCUAACGCAUUAAGUACCCCGCCUGGGGAGUACGGCCGCAAGGCUAAAACUCAAAGGAAUUGACGGGGGCCCGCACAAGCGGCGGAGCAUGUGGAUUAAUUCGAUGCAACGCGAAGAACCUUACCUGGGUUUGACAUGCACAGGACGCCAGUAGAGAUAUUGGUUCCCUUGUGGCCUGUGUGCAGGUGGUGCAUGGCUGUCGUCAGCUCGUGUCGUGAGAUGUUGGGUUAAGUCCCGCAACGAGCGCAACCCUUGUCUCAUGUUGCCAGCACGUUAUGGUGGGGACUCGUGAGAGACUGCCGGGGUCAACUCGGAGGAAGGUGGGGAUGACGUCAAGUCAUCAUGCCCCUUAUGUCCAGGGCUUCACACAUGCUACAAUGGCCGGUACAAAGGGCUGCGAUGCCGUGAGGUGGAGCGAAUCCUUUCAAAGCCGGUCUCAGUUCGGAUCGGGGUCUGCAACUCGACCCCGUGAAGUCGGAGUCGCUAGUAAUCGCAGAUCAGCAACGCUGCGGUGAAUACGUUCCCGGGCCUUGUACACACCGCCCGNNCACGUCAUGAAAGUCGGUAACACCCGAAGCCGGUNGCCUAACCCUU
Molecule: ribosomal RNA, 1048 nt
Filed under: Mycolicibacterium senegalense
Lineage: Bacteria; Bacillati; Actinomycetota; Actinomycetes; Mycobacteriales; Mycobacteriaceae
Description: bacterial SSU rRNA
Rfam family: Bacterial small subunit ribosomal RNA
Source: RNAcentral